AAAAGUGAAUGAAAGUUUCCGUAGACAGUAGGUGCUGAAAGGCAUAACGUAGAACAACCUACCGAGGGCAAUUAUAGUGUAUAUAAUAGUCUUCCUAUGUCUACGGGAAGACUUUUCUUAUUAUAUA
Clostridium perfringens str. 13 is the source of this 127-nucleotide regulatory RNA element. It matches the Rfam family "Ribosomal protein L10 leader". From Rfam's summary of the family: This family is a putative r-protein leader autoregulatory structure found in B. subtilis and other low-GC Gram-positive bacteria. It is located in the 5' untranslated regions of mRNAs encoding ribosomal proteins L10 and L12 (rplJ-rplL). A Rho-independent transcription terminator structure that is probably involved in regulation is included at the 3' end. NCBI's taxonomy places the organism in Bacteria, Bacillati, Bacillota, Clostridia, Eubacteriales, Clostridiaceae. The record is from Rfam.